UGAACGCUGGUGGCGUGCUUAACACAUGCAAGUCGCGCGUGAAAGGACUUCGGUCCGRGUAAAGCGGCGCACGGGUGAGUAACGCGUGGAUGAUCUACCCAUGAGUUGGGAAUAACGGCUGGAAACGGUCGCUAAUACCRAAUACGCUCCGAUUUCAACUUCGGGGGAAAGGUGGCCUCUGCUUGCAAGCUACUGCUCAUGGAUGAGUCCGCGUCCCAUUAGCUAGUUGGUGGGGUAACGGCCCACCAAGGCGACGAUGGGUAGCCGGUCUGAGAGGAUGACCGGCCACACUGGGACUGGAACACGGCCCAGACUCCUACGGGAGGCAGCAGUGGGGAAUAUUGCGCAAUGGGCGAAAGCCUUCACCCAGCMACCCCGCGUUAGGGAUGAAGGUCCUCGGAUCYUAAACCUCUGUUCAGGAGGGAAGAACCCCACCGUGCUAAUCAGCCGUUGUCUUACGGUACCUCCAAAGGAAGAACCSGGUUACUCCUUUCCAACAACCCCGGUUAAA
RNAcentral lists this ribosomal RNA (511 nucleotides) under Nitratidesulfovibrio vulgaris. Its description in RNAcentral is "bacterial SSU rRNA". It matches the Rfam family "Bacterial small subunit ribosomal RNA", at positions 30 to 525 of the family's 1533-position model. The record is from RNAcentral. Lineage: Bacteria; Pseudomonadati; Thermodesulfobacteriota; Desulfovibrionia; Desulfovibrionales; Desulfovibrionaceae.